Molecule: ribosomal RNA, 594 nt
Filed under: Salmonella enterica subsp. enterica serovar Enteritidis
Lineage: Bacteria; Pseudomonadati; Pseudomonadota; Gammaproteobacteria; Enterobacterales; Enterobacteriaceae
Description: partial 23S ribosomal RNA
Rfam family: Bacterial large subunit ribosomal RNA
Source: RNAcentral
GGUUAAGCGACUAAGCGUACACGGUGGAUGCCCUGGCAGUCAGAGGCGAUGAAGGGCGUGCUAAUCUGCGAUAAGCGCCGGUAAGGUGAUAUGAACCGUUAUAACCGGCGAUACCCGAAUGGGGAAACCCAGUGUGACUCGUCACACUAUCAUUAACUGAAUCCAUAGGUUAAUGAGGCGAACCGGGGGAACUGAAACAUCUAAGUACCCCGAGGAAAAGAAAUCAACCGAGAUUCCCCCAGUAGCGGCGAGCGAACGGGGAGGAGCCCAGAGCCUGAAUCAGCAUGUGUGUUAGUGGAAGCGUCUGGAAAGGCGCGCGAUACAGGGUGACAGCCCCGUACACAAAAGCGCAUGUGCUGUGAGCUCGAUGAGUAGGGCGGGACACGUGGUAUCCUGUCUGAAUAUGGGGGGACCAUCCUCCAAGGCUAAAUACUCCUGACUGACCGAUAGUGAACCAGUACCGUGAGGGAAAGGCGAAAAGAACCCCGGCGAGGGGAGUGAAAAAGAACCUGAAACCGUGUACGUACAAGCAGUGGGAGCCCCACCACCAAAGCAUUUGCUGUACCGCGUUGACGGAGCGAAGCGACGUCAAAC